CGCUGAAGCUCCAGCUUGCUGGGGUGGAUGAGUGGCGAACGGGUGAGUAAUACGUGAGUAACCUGCCCUUGACUCUGGGAUAAGCCUGGGAAACCGGGUCUAAUACUGGAUACGACGUCCUACCGCAUGGUGGGGCGUGGAAAGGGUUUUACUGGUUUUGGAUGGGCUCACGGCCUAUCAGCUUGUUGGUGGGGUAAUGGCCUACCAAGGCGACGACGGGUAGCCGGCCUGAGAGGGUGACCGGCCACACUGGGACUGAGACACGGCCCAGACUCCUACGGGAGGCAGCAGUGGGGAAUAUUGCACAAUGGGCGCAAGCCUGAUGCAGCGACGCCGCGUGAGGGAUGACGGCCUUCGGGUUGUAAACCUCUUUCAGCAGGGAAGAAGCCACAAGUGACGGUACCUGCAGAAGAAGCGCCGGCUAACUACGUGCCAGCAGCCGCGGUAAUACGUAGGGCGCAAGCGUUGUCCGGAAUUAUUGGGCGUAAAGAGCUCGUAGGCGGUUUGUCGCGUCUGCUGUGAAAGCCCGGGGCUCAACCCCGGGUCUGCAGUGGGUACGGGCAGACUAGAGUGCAGUAGGGGAGACUGGAAUUCCUGGUGUAGCGGUGAAAUGCGCAGAUAUCAGGAGGAACACCGAUGGCGAAGGCAGGUCUCUGGGCUGUUACUGACGCUGAGGAGCGAAAGCAUGGGGAGCGAACAGGAUUAGAUACCCUGGUAGUCCAUGCCGUAAACGUUGGGCACUAGGUGUGGGGGACAUUCCACGUUCUCCGCGCCGUAGCUAACGCAUUAAGUGCCCCGCCUGGGGAGUAC
This 810-nucleotide ribosomal RNA is filed under the name Kocuria sp. Its description in RNAcentral is "bacterial SSU rRNA". It matches the Rfam family "Bacterial small subunit ribosomal RNA", at positions 65 to 883 of the family's 1533-position model. The record is from RNAcentral. Lineage: Bacteria; Bacillati; Actinomycetota; Actinomycetes; Micrococcales; Micrococcaceae.